RNAcentral lists this ribosomal RNA (393 nucleotides) under uncultured bacterium. RNAcentral describes it as "partial 16S ribosomal RNA". It matches the Rfam family "Bacterial small subunit ribosomal RNA", at positions 523 to 918 of the family's 1533-position model. The record is from RNAcentral.
AUACGGAGGACGCGAGCGUUAUCCGGAUUCAUUGGGUUUAAAGGGUGCGCAGGCGGCCGUGCAAGUCAGCGGUGAAAGCCCGGGGCUCAACCCCGGAAGUGCCGUUGAUACUGCAUGGCUGGAAUGCGGUCGAGGCGGGCGGAACGUGGGGUGGAGCGGGGAAAAGCGUAGAUAUGCCACAGAACGCCGAUAGCGGAGGCAGCUCGCCAGGCCUGCAUUGACGCUCGGGCACGAAAGCGUGGGGAUCGAACAGGAUUAGAUACCCUGGUAGUCCACGCCGUAAACGAUGGGCGCUCGUCGUCGGCGGCAGACAGUCGGCGGCCAAGCGAAAGCGAUAAGCGCCCCACCUGGGGAGUACGGUCGCAAGGCUGAAACUCAAAUGAAUUGACGGGG